GGUAUUUGUACCUUUAUUUCAUCAUUUAGUUCCUCCAGGACCUGCAAAGAAAUUUACAUGAAUAGGAAAUUCCUGAAGUAACUGAACCAAAUGCCCCACUUCAAGCUUUGAAUGCUGUUUCAUUUAACAAGUUCAUCUUUGCCUUCCGGUGUUACAUUCUGCCCUUUAGCAUGUUUGGAAUGCAAGUGCUGGUUAGCAUCCUACCUUCUCUUUGUUACAAGCAGGGCAACAAAUGUGCCAUUAAUAAGAAUACUACUUAAAGAGCACCAAACACAAAGUCAUGUAUUAAAAUGAUCACCCAUCUCCCAGUUGGUACGAACUGAAUGUGGUCACUUGAGAUUUUAGGUUAUGGAAAUCAAUAACGAAACAUUGGAAAAUUAACAAUGGACACUUCUAAACUGUUACAAUCAUAAACAGGCAUUUCAGUGUCUCUGUUUUUGGUAACAGCUGUGAAGGGCAGCAGCGCCACCUGGUGGAGUUUCAGCAAUAAAGCAGGAGUGUCGUAUAAAUCUGUCCUAAUUGUUUAAAUUAUCAGAGAAAUGUUGGAACCUUGCAACACUGGUCCUAAUUAGGAGCAGAUUUUCAGGAUUUGUACUCACAUUAUGUGAACAAGUCUAAGGAUUCAUUUGCAGGACUGACUGCCUGUGUAGCAACAUAACAGUGGAUCAUGAAUAACUGCAAAACAGUGAUAUUUUUAUGCAUAAAAAACAGGAUGAAUUUGUAGCUAAUUCAUUUAUUUUUUUUACUGGAUUGGUUUUGAUGGCAGGACUCAGCCAUGUUCAUUUACAGUGAUUGUCCCAAGACAACUCUUUUCCUUUGAAAAGUGUCUUGGUUGCAUCUCAGAAUCACUCUCUCCAUUGUGGACAACGUUAUUCAAAUUCUGCACACUGUAUAGAAAAUCCCUCUGAUGUAGUACUUCCCAGGCUGAAUAUUAUAAUGCAAAUUAAUUCUGUUUAGAGCUCAACCAUUUGGGCAAAAUAUCUAAUCCAAUUUCCCUCCUUCAGUUCAAUGUUCACUGUGUAAUAGAUUUAAAACGUGAUGGACGUUACCACAUGUCUGCCAUGCAAGAUGGGAUGAAUUUGUAAAACCUUUGUCAUGACAGUUCAAAGAAGGACAGGACAAUCUCUGUGAUGCUGUUAAGAAUAUAUUUGAAGAAACAGUUGCUUCAGCAUUUUAAGCAACACCAUGCAGAACACAAACCUUGUGUCCUGCAGAAACCUUGUACCUUCAAUUUGCCUUCUCAACAUUACUGAAGAAUGACACAAGCUGCAGCUCGUGUGAAAGGUUCCCACUAUAUCAAUCGGAUCUCUUGGUAUGUGGAAUGUUACAAGAAUAUAGCACCCCAAACUGAAAAAAAAGUUUUCAUUUUCUAGUCACCCUCAUGUCUGUUGAAGUCCAAAUUUAACGACAUAAAGUUAAUUGAUAAUCUAGGUUUUCUCCAAAACAGCAGAUGAAAAAAAAUCAUGACCAUGAAAAAGAAUGUGGAAUUAGUGACACCAGAUCUGUAAUUAAAUGCACAUAGUGGUUAAAAGUUGCACGAGAUGAUGUCAAAUCAGGUUAUAUUGAAUAUCAAUGUAGCUCGUGAGUGUAGUGUUGGACGAAAAAGAAGCCCAGCUUUAUACAUGGUGUGACCGACAUGAGGGUGAGAAGCUAAUGAAUGACAAUGUUCACCCCUACGUCAACAACUCCUUUCAUAUUAAAAGCAAAUCUUAAUAAGGAAAUGAUUCUGGCAUUCUCAACUAGUUUUCGGGGAACAAGGUUUAUGAAGGACAAAUAUAGAAAAACCACACAGGUAUAAAUUGUAACUUUUAAUUCUUUUCCAGAGAAGUUUGUGUUUUACUGGUAAAUUAACAGAAACAUUUUACCAGCAUCACAAACCUUCAGAGGACCCUGGUCUACCUCUUCAAGAGGGACAAGGAAAGGCUUCACACAUCACACUUAUCCCAAAGACAACAAGCUGGAAUACAGUAAGCACCUGUAACCAUAGCAGAGGUCUAAAUAUUAAUGUUUUGUUAAAAUUCCUUGACAAAGUGUGGAUGGCCUGCAGAGGGAAGAUGCCAGUAGGAUGGCUGAGAAGAGCUGCUUCACAAAUGCAUGUAUCAAAAAAAACAGAUGCUCUUUGGAUCAAAGGACAAAUCAAGGAAAGAGGUUAGACUUGUACUCUGCUAGGACAGAACCAAAAAAUACCAAGGCAACUACUAAAACUCCUUUAACCCUCAUGUGCACAAAUAAGGCCCUCAAUGUAAACCGAUGCCUAAUGGUUGUUGAGGAGGCUUGGCGUCUACGCAUUUCAACUCAGUCUUCAUCAGGGCACAGCUUCCUGUCAUGUUCUUACAUGCUCUGAUAAAGUAGUUCAGGCCAUAAUGAUGUUCACCUUUUAACAAAGCAUGAAACCUGGAGCACUUGUGCAGUUUCUGGGCUUGAGCAACACUUCAUCGUGACUGUUCUACUUUCUGACAUCACCAAAUAAUGUAUUUUGCAUUCUGAAACAAACAUGACAACACAGAAAGGUGAUGGUUACAUAUAUGUUUGAUGGCCAAAGAUGACGACGAUACCAUAACCUAAUAACAUCAUUAGCUGUUCAGGUAUAUAAAUAACAGGGAAUUCAGAAGCAAUGUGAGAAGGAAUUCACAGCGUCUAAGAAUCGAGGCAGGACUUCUUAAUGUAAUAUAUAAUGUCUGACUGUUGUGUACGGUUUAAAAAGCUCCAUCACGCUGUUCAUUACCCCUGACAAUACUGAGACUGCAAAGACUAGAACAAUAUUCAAUAUAACCUAGAAAGUGUGUCAAACAUAAAGACUGAUUUAAAAAAGAAUAUUCAAAAAACACACAGAGCUGUGUACUUUCAAUACCCACAGCAGUGUUUCAUGCUGUCACAAUGCCAGAAUUACAGGAUGAGCUGAGUUGAAAUGCAUGUAUGUUAAGCCCAUUCAAUGAAGGUUUUUACAUUUUUGCAAAGAAAUGUGCCUUGGGUAUUGGUUGGUUCUGACUUACUGAUCACUAAAGCUAAGUAAAAGUCUAAUCCCUUCCUCUUCCUAAACUGGGAGAGACACAUUAAGACCUCACUUGUAAGUCAUUUCAAAUGUAUUGACCAGAACAUUACAUUGUGCAUAAAGUCAGAGUCUCAGGCUGUGCUGCCAUUCUCUCACUAGAAGCAUAACGGUACGUUUCAAGCAUUACAUGCACAGUAUAUAAUAUUUAAUAUCAGGCUUUUAUGAGUCUUUUAAAAUCUCACUAGGUAACUUUGCAUUUGGUAGCCCCAAAGAAGCAGCAAGAUAUAGAUGCAACAUUUCCACUUGCCUUUGUAAAGGUAGUGUCUAUGCUGCGUAGAAAAUUGUUUGCUUUGAGCUCAGAAAUGUCAAAAAUCUGUCUCUUAGGUUGGACACUGAUGUUGAUGAAUUGAAGCCACAAGACAAGCAGAAUUAAUGAGGACAAAUGGGAUGAAUUCACAUUGUGCUUCAGUUCUAGCUUUAGUUUAAAGGUACAUCAGUUAAGGAUUAGAGAAGAUUUAUGACUGUAUAGCCUCAUAUUCUCUGCAAGGCGACAGCUUGAAACAUAAUUUGGUAUUAGUGCUGGGAUUCUUAAAAAAA
Stegastes partitus (bicolor damselfish) is the source of this 3589-nucleotide long non-coding RNA. RefSeq lists it as uncharacterized. NCBI's taxonomy places the organism in Eukaryota, Metazoa, Chordata, Actinopteri, Pomacentridae. The record is from RefSeq and is a predicted model, not a curated record. The transcript has 2 exons.